This is a long non-coding RNA of Cercocebus atys (sooty mangabey), 2582 nucleotides long. RefSeq lists it as uncharacterized. The record is from RefSeq and is a predicted model, not a curated record. The transcript has 4 exons. NCBI's taxonomy places the organism in Eukaryota, Metazoa, Chordata, Mammalia, Primates, Cercopithecidae.
CGCCCCUUCGCCCCCGCGGUGACGCGCCGCCGAGCCGUGGGAAGGCGCUGGGCGGUCGCCGCCUUCACCGACGGCUGGGAGGUCCGGCCGUGCUCCGCUGUCUCGGCUGCCGCGCGCUGGGUGGCCUUGGGCAGGUGCCCUGGGAGGCCCGGCGGGGAAGCCAGGAGUCCCCGUCUGUCCCUGGGUCACCUGGGCGCUGCUGGCCUGUAGAGGCGCCGCUUUGAUGCCUGGGAUUCCGCAAGGGUCAACCCCGCGCGCUCCUGCCUCCUGGUGUUCUGGAGGCAGCAGACACAUCAAGUUUGUCGAGGUUUUUAAAAAUGUGACUACUAGAAAAUGUUAAACUGCUUAUUCAGCUCCCAUGAUGUUCCUAUUGGAUGGUACUAAUCUGGUGCAGGAUUUCUUAACCUCGAGACUACUGGCAUUUUGGGCCAGAUCAUUCUGUAUUGUGCAGGGCUGUUCUGUGGAUUGUAGAAUGGGGUCAGGAGAUCCUCUCUGAGGAUGAAUCAUUAUGCAAAGACCCGAAUGGAGAGAGGGAAUCUGAGAAGAUCUGAGGGAAGAGGAUUCCAGGCAGAAGGAACAGCAAGUGGAAAGCCCUGAGCUCCAAGCCACAGUCACAUCUGGAUCACAUCAUGGGGCUUUUAUUCCCAAAUCCAGUCCAAGACCAUGUCAGAAAGCAGAGGAUUCAUUUAUGGCACCAGAGGCUGGGGCUGAUAUCCAAGGCCUAGGAAGGAGGGGGUGUUGGGAUGCCGCCCUUCCCCGACCCCUGCCUUUCCCUCGUCUUGGACAUGGGCCACUGGUUAUAAAACAGGGCAAAUAGCCCUGGGACCACUGGCCUUACGGACAUUAUAAAAAUUUUACCAUGAGACUAAGACAUCUCAGAACAGUUUUGAUGAUGUCCCCAAGUAGGUGACUCCAAGGCCUCUGAAGGAAUGUUGGACAGGAGGUGUGAGGAAGGAAGUAGAUGAAGAAUCGUAUUUCUCUCCAUCCCUGGUGACUGGGUGGGGACAGGUGGGAAACUGAGGGGACUUCAGUUUGGAGAAUCCAGGAGAAACAUUCAAGUCUAGUCUUACCACGGGGCAGAAGAACGGUUAACAUAAUGUUGGGGGCCCCAGGUGUACCAGACUGAUGGAGGUAUAAUAAUAUGUGGUAGCCAACCGCCAAGAUGGCCCCUAAUCAUCUCCACUUCCUGAUAUUCACCUCCUUGGGUAGUCCCCUCUCACCUUCUAACAGGGUUUGUCUGUGUGACCAAUGGAAUAUGCUAGAAGUGAUGACAUGUCACUUCCAAGGCUAGGUCAUAAAAGAUGGUCUGGCUUUUGCCUUGCUCUCUCUUGGAUUACUCACUCUCAGGGAAGCCAACAGCCAUGUCAUGAGGACACUCAGGUAACAUUGUGGCGAGGAACUCUGGUGAUCUGCCAACAGCCAUGUGAGUGAGCCAUCUUGGAGGCAGCUCCUCCAGCCCUAGGCAAGCCUUCCAUUGACUGCAGCUCCACCUGGCAGCUUGACUACAACCUCACAAGAGGCUCUGAAUAAGAACCACCCAGCAAAGCCACUCUUGGAUUCCUGCUGUGCAGACACUUUGAGGGGCAGGAAGAUCCUGGAGUGUAGGAAGACCCUGGGGUGCAGGAAUAAGAAUGAUGUGAGGGUUGGAGUCUGAGUUAUCCCCUUCUUCCUUCAUCUCACAUCCUGUCUUGUCUUUUCUUCCCCCACUCCAUCCCCACCCUUGGUGGUUCCAGAUGGGAACACCGAGUCCAUGUGAGGAGCCCUGUUGGGGGAAGCUUGCCUUCUGAUGGUCUCAGGCUGCUCUCCAUUGCGGAAUCUCCCCUCAGGGUGGUCUUCAUGUGGUGGAACAGAUUCUACAGAAAGACCCCAGCUCUAAUGGAUAAAUCGGGUCCCAGGCCUGUUCAUUACCCACAUCACCAUUAGCAUUUCAUGAGGGGCCAUAUGCCAGUUUGUGAAUACAAUUAUGGGGAAAAAACAAGACAAUGUAAGUUAAUUAAAACCCUCUCCAUUUAUUUGAAUGGCUUUUAAGAAGCAGAAGCACAUGUGGUAAAAUUAAGAUAUAGGACAUGCAUGAGAAGUGACAGGGACCCACACUGACAAGCACUCAGCACCCUUUAUCAUGUGACCAGGUAAAUGCUACAAAGAGCCAGACAGCUCUGGAUCGAUGGGGUGUGCUACUAGCAGGCCAAAGAGGGCAAAGCUGGGACAAGUACAAGCAGUCUUAUCCCCAGACAAGGGGAGUGACAAAGAUGAAGAAACACAUGCUCUAACCAUUUACGGAGGCACUUAGGUUUAUCAUAACAAACAACCUGGAGAGGUUGGGUGAUGAGGAAGACUGAGGCAGCAAAUGCUAUCAAAGCAAAGGGCUUCUGACAGGUAGAUACAAGCAACACUAUGCGUACAGUUUCAUUUUUCAUCGUGUUCUAUAUUGGAGGUUACUGACAUGCUCUCAAGUAGAAACCAGAAGUUAAGUAUAUAUGCGCUAUUACUUUAAUAAAGAAGUUUGUAGGCCAGGUGUGGUGGCUCACGCCUGUGAUCCCAGCACUUUGGGAGGCAGAGGCUGGCCGAUCACCUGAGGUCAG